This is a non-coding RNA of Misgurnus anguillicaudatus (oriental weatherfish), 420 nucleotides long. NCBI's taxonomy places the organism in Eukaryota, Metazoa, Chordata, Actinopteri, Cypriniformes, Cobitidae. The record is from RefSeq and is a predicted model, not a curated record.
CUUACGUUAGGUGAUACAGAUGUUGCUCAUCACCGCAGGAGAGGUGAGCUGUCUGAACCCAUAUGUGCUACAGGCCAGGCCAGUAGAAAUGAUUUUCCCAUCUCCAGACAAUACCACUAAAUACAGCAUAGGCAAGUUAUCCGCUGGGCGUCUAAGGAACUCUGUGCAGGCGCCCUUACCUACAUGUGUCAGCCAUUCAAGAACAGGUUCCAGAGGAAGGAGGACUUUAUAAAUGAUCCCAACAGCUUCAGCCUUGUUGAUCCUCUGGAUGGAUCUGGAGAGGGGAGCAGGUGUAGUGGAAGACAGGACAGUGCUGCCUGUGGUGACCUGGAGUAUUCCAGAACAGAAUAUUUAAAUAGAUUACAUUUAUUUGUCCCUGUUAACAGUGUACACCAAAGUAAUACAGUUCUGAUAAAAAAU